This 253-nucleotide ribosomal RNA is filed under the name uncultured bacterium. RNAcentral describes it as "partial 16S ribosomal RNA". It matches the Rfam family "Bacterial small subunit ribosomal RNA", at positions 524 to 776 of the family's 1533-position model. The record is from RNAcentral.
UACGGGGGGGGCAAGCGUUGUUCGGAAUUACUGGGCGUAAAGGGUUCGUAGGUGGCCAACUAAGUCAGACGUGAAAUCCCUCAGCUUAACUGGGGAACUGCGUCUGAGACUGGAUGGCUCGAGUGCAGGAGAGGAACGCGGAAUUCCAGGUGUAGCGGUGAAAUGCGUAGAUAUGCGGAGGAACACCGAUGGCGAAGGCAAUCCCCUGGGCCUGCACUGACGCUCAUGCACGAAAGCGUGGGGAGCAAACAGG